This 113-nucleotide non-coding RNA is filed under the name human gut metagenome. RNAcentral describes it as "FMN riboswitch (RFN element)". It matches the Rfam family "FMN riboswitch aptamer (RFN element)". Rfam says of the family: The RFN element is a highly conserved domain that is found frequently in the 5'-untranslated regions of prokaryotic mRNAs that encode for flavin mononucleotide (FMN) biosynthesis and transport proteins. This element is a metabolite-dependent riboswitch that directly binds FMN in the absence of proteins. In Bacillus subtilis, the riboswitch most likely controls gene expression by causing premature transcription termination within the 5' untranslated region of the ribDEAHT operon and precluding access to the ribosome-binding site of ypaA mRNA. The record is from RNAcentral.
AUCUUCGGGGCAAGGUGAAAUUCCUGACCGGCAGUAAAGUCUGCGAAGCGUGAAGAAACGCCCGAUGCGGUGAAAUUCCGCAGCCGACGGUUAUAGUCCGGACGAAAGAAGAU